CCCGGAUAUCGAGGACCGGCUGGUCGCCGCCGGCCUGAAGCCGACGGACCGUGCCGAAACGGUGCCUCUGGAAGGGUUCUGCGCGCUUGCCCGGGA
Molecule: transfer RNA, 96 nt
Filed under: Paracoccaceae bacterium
Lineage: Bacteria; Pseudomonadati; Pseudomonadota; Alphaproteobacteria; Rhodobacterales; Paracoccaceae
Description: Rhodobacteraceae bacterium tRNA-Ser
Source: RNAcentral